UAGUAAGAUGGCUGAGUUAAGCAACAAACUGUAGAUUUGUUUACGGGGUUAAUGCCCCUCUUAUUACC
Molecule: transfer RNA, 68 nt
Filed under: Travisia sanrikuensis
Lineage: Eukaryota; Metazoa; Annelida; Polychaeta; Opheliidae
Description: tRNA-Tyr
Rfam family: tRNA
About the family: Transfer RNA (tRNA) molecules are approximately 80 nucleotides in length. Their secondary structure includes four short double-helical elements and three loops (D, anti-codon, and T loops). Further hydrogen bonds mediate the characteristic L-shaped molecular structure. tRNAs have two regions of fundamental functional importance: the anti-codon, which is responsible for specific mRNA codon recognition, and the 3' end, to which the tRNAs corresponding amino acid is attached (by aminoacyl-tRNA synthetases). tRNAs cope with the degeneracy of the genetic code in two manners: having more than one tRNA (with a specific anti-codon) for a particular amino acid; and 'wobble' base-pairing, i.e. permitting non-standard base-pairing at the 3rd anti-codon position.
Source: RNAcentral